This 460-nucleotide ribosomal RNA is filed under the name uncultured bacterium. Its description in RNAcentral is "partial 16S ribosomal RNA". It matches the Rfam family "Bacterial small subunit ribosomal RNA", at positions 338 to 795 of the family's 1533-position model. The record is from RNAcentral.
CCUACGGGAGGCAGCAGUGAGGAAUAUUGGUCAAUGGACGAGAGUCUGAACCAGCCAAGUAGCGUGAAGGAAGACUGCCCUAUGGGUUGUAAACUUCUUUUAUAUGGGAAUAAAAUGUUCCACGUGUGGGAUUUUGUAUGUACCAUAUGAAUAAGGAUCGGCUAACUCCGUGCCAGCAGCCGCGGUAAUACGGAGGGUCCGAGCGUUAUCCGGAUUUAUUGGGUUUAAAGGGAGCGUAGGUGGGUUGUUAAGUCAGUUGUGAAAGUUUGCGGCUCAACCGUAAAAUUGCAGUUGAAACUGGCAGGCUUGAGUACUGUAGAGGGGGGCGGAAUUCGUGGUGUAGCGGUGAAAUGCUUAGAUAUCACGAAGAACUCCGAUUGCGAAGGCAGCUCACUGGACUGCGACUGACGCUGAGGCUCGAAAGUGUGGGUAUCAAACAGGAUUAGAUACCCUAGUAGUC